GAUGAACGCUGGCGGCGUGCCUAAUACAUGCAAGUCGAGCGAACAGACGAGGAGCUUGCUCCUUUGAUGUUAGCGGCGGACGGGUGAGUAACACGUAGGUAACCUACCUAUAAGACUGGGAUAACUUCGGGAAACCGGAGCUAAUACCGGAUAAUAUUUCGAACCGCAUGGUUCGAUAGUGAAAGAUGGCUUUGCUAUCACUUAUAGAUGGACCUGCGCCGUAUUAGCUACUUGGUAAGGUAACGGCUUACCAAGGCAACGAUACGUAGCCGACCUGAGAGGGGGAUCGGCCACACUGGAACUAGGACCGGGUCCAGCCUCCUACGGGAGGCAGCAGUGGGAAAUCUGCCGCAAUGGGCGAAAGCCGGACGGAGCAACGCCGCGUGGGUGAUGAAGGUCUUCGGAUCGUAAAACUCUGUUAUGAGGGAAGAACAAACGUGUAAGUAACUGUGCACGUCUUGACGGUACCUAAGCAGAAAGCCACGGCUAACUACGU
This 496-nucleotide ribosomal RNA is filed under the name uncultured bacterium. RNAcentral describes it as "partial 16S ribosomal RNA". It matches the Rfam family "Bacterial small subunit ribosomal RNA", at positions 28 to 506 of the family's 1533-position model. The record is from RNAcentral.